Trachymyrmex cornetzi is the source of this 608-nucleotide long non-coding RNA. RefSeq lists it as uncharacterized. The transcript is spliced from 3 exons. NCBI's taxonomy places the organism in Eukaryota, Metazoa, Arthropoda, Insecta, Hymenoptera, Formicidae. The record is from RefSeq and is a predicted model, not a curated record.
ACCUACAUAUAUUGAGUAUAUUGGGUAAGAGAUUUGUGCUAUAUGUUAAUAAGAUAAUCAUUGUUAAUUAUGAAAACAUGUAUAAAAUGUUAAUAUAUCAUUGAAUGAUAUAUAAAUUUUGAUCACAACAAAUAUUGUAAUAAUAAUUUUACAAAAAAUAACAGCAUAAAUGUGAAAAUAAUUCGAGAUGAAUCUGGAAAAAUGAUUCAUACAGCCGAAGGGAUUCUGUGAAUAUGUAAACAGCGAUGGAAAUAUCUCAUUAAAAUUUGUACGGACAACAAAUUCGUGCUGUAACGAAUCAUCAUUUAAAAUUGAAAAUGAGAGCAUAAUAUCAUGCAGCACAAUGGUAAACACGCAAGAAAAUAAUUGCAAAAAUGUACAAAAAUUGAUAAUGGCAUAUGAGUUCUUACUUUCUUCAUCAAACAGUUCUGAUGAAGAGUUAUAAUAUAAAGAACGUAUUUUAGAAGGGCUACGAGCCAAUGAACAAUUUUUCAAUAUAUGUUUAUUGUAAUAAACAUUUUUUUUCGACCUCUUUAUUGGGUCAUCCUCAGUGUUAGUGUUUAAGUUCUAUAAACCGCAAAUCAUAUUUACGCAAGCCAGGCCGUUAG